RNAcentral lists this long non-coding RNA (304 nucleotides) under Capsella rubella. RNAcentral describes it as "long non-coding RNA (CRUB_LNC001504)". The record is from RNAcentral. Lineage: Eukaryota; Viridiplantae; Streptophyta; Magnoliopsida; Brassicales; Brassicaceae.
UCGGGACCCUAAUUAACAAAUGCAAAAUUAGAUAGAGGCCAAAACAACGUCGUUUUUUGUCAAAGCAUUCUUGAAGAUCUGUGUCGUAUCUUUCUCUCGGUACCACAUUAUUAGAAUUUGUGUGACCACGUUACCAUGAAGAUCACUCUCUCUUGUUUUUUUUUUCGUUUUUUUAAUUGGUUUAUAAGUUUAUUGAUAAAGUUAAGGUAUCACGAAGAUCUUUCUUAAAAAAAAAAAAAAUCAUUGAGUGGACGAGAAUAAAAAGAUCGAGAAACACAUGUCUACUUAAAUGUUUAACCACCGC